UACGUAGGAAGCAAGCGUUGUCCGGAAUUACUGGGCGUAAAGCGCGAUGUAGGCGGUACGACAAGUCUGCUGUGAAAGCGCCCGGCUUAACCGGGCGAGGUCGGUGGAAACUGUCGCACUGGAGGCCGGUAGAGGGGGGUGGAAUUCCCGGUGUGAGUGGUGAAAUGCGUAGAGAUCGGGAGGAACACCUGUGGCGAAGGCGGCCCCCUGGGCCGCGCCUGACGCUGAGACGCGAAAGCGCGGGGAGCGA
Molecule: ribosomal RNA, 250 nt
Filed under: uncultured bacterium
Lineage: Bacteria
Description: partial 16S ribosomal RNA
Rfam family: Bacterial small subunit ribosomal RNA
Source: RNAcentral